RNAcentral lists this ribosomal RNA (2994 nucleotides) under Triticum aestivum (bread wheat). RNAcentral's name for it is "partial small subunit ribosomal RNA". Lineage: Eukaryota; Viridiplantae; Streptophyta; Magnoliopsida; Poales; Poaceae. The record is from RNAcentral.
AUGCGUCGGCAGAGGAUUUAUGUGGACAACAUUGAAGAAGCGGUGCAACAGUUAAUCCCUUAUCUGGAGGAUACAAGCAGUACUGCACACAAGGCCAUCUAUUUUGAUGGAUGGGAUGGGUUGGCUGCUUCGGCGGUGCUUAGAGCUAUAGCUGAAGACCCUCCACCAUCUCUGCUGAAGAUAUUCAACAAGAUCAUCCACAUCGAUUGCUCCAGGUGGAAAAGCCGAAGAGCUCUCCAGAGGACAAUUGCACAAGAAGUUCUUCCUCAUCGGGUAAUGGAUAUUUUUGAUAGGCAAGAUGAAGAAGAUGAUUUCUGUGGGAUAGACGAAGGCUCAAGAGCUGAAAUAGGAUUCAUUGGGAGAGAGAUCCUUCAAGUCCUUAUGGCGCACAGAUGUUUAGUGGUCUUUCAUAACGGAAGCAAUGAUAUGGUUAAUUUAAGCGCUUUUGGCGUUCCUCAACCAGAGUUUUUUGGUACUAAGAUAUUGUGGUCAUUUCGAGAAAGGCUUCGGCUCAACCCAGGAAUUAGUGAGAAGGUGGAUGAUUCCAAUCUUUUUCUUUAUGCACACAAUGAUGAGCUGUGGAAUUUUCUGCUUAAAAUAGAGGCUAGAGAAAUUGUUGGGUACACAUAUAAGCUUGGUGAAGCAGUUGAAGAGUGUUGCUUGUAUUUGCUGUCAUUAAAUUCUCAGGGAGGCAACAUCAUGGACUAUGACUGGGCUACCCAUGCUUCUAACUAUUGGGUCUGUGAUGGGAUUAUAAAAGGAGAUCAGGAUGAUGAAGCAUGGGAGGUUGCAGCUGCUCUGCAUCAACAAAUAAAUAUAAAGGAUUAUUCAUCUAAUUCACUGCCCACUUUUGGUGAUGAACUGAACACGCCUCUUGAACGGUGGAUAUUAUCCAGGUAUAACUCUGUUUUGUAUCCAUGGUCAACGUCCUUUUUUCUUGCUGGAACCGCAAGCAGAUCUGAUCCUCCAUCAAGACCCUUACCUAAUGACACGUUUCAUCAAUCGAACAUGCUUCGUGUGCUCAAGUUAUGCCGUUGCACCUUCUGUUUUUCUGCACCUCCUUUCGGUUGUUGCCGCAACUUAAGGUUCCUCGGAUUAGAUGCCUGCAAGGAUCAUCGAGUAGAAGAAGAUGAGAAGCAAGAUAGACCAGCAAUGGAAUGUUUUCAGAGCCUAUGGGUACUAGACAUAUGCCACACAGAUUGGGAAUUUGCCUUGUCACCAGAGAUAACAGAGCAGAUUGCUCGGAACAUUAGAGAGGUACACAUAAAGAAGGGAAGGAUUUGGCAACACAGUUUUACAUGGCGACAACUGCAAAACCUUCACAAGCUUCGAGUAAUUGAGCCUACGUCACCUUGGGGGACAGGCCAAAAUGAUGAAUUCACCAAUAUGGUUAAGUUGGAGUUCCUUGACCUAUCUGGGGAUAGUACAAUACAAGCUUUGCCAAGUAUGUCAGGGGCUACUUGCCUCAAGAUUCUGAUUCUCGAUGAUUGUGUUAAACUGGAAAGUGUGGGCCCGGAAGGACUACCGCCAUCACUUGAAUCCUUCAGCUUAGAUUGUUGUACAAGAGGGGAUCAGAAUAACAAUGCUCAAAUUUCUCAUAUCUCUUUGGCUGGUUGUGCAAGAUUGGUGAACUUCAAGUUGCGUGGAUCGCUUCCAAAUCUUGAGGAGCUAGAUCUAUCAGGCACAUUGGUCAAAACACUUGACCUGAAAGAUAAGGUGGUGCAGGCCCCAUGCCUCAAGCAAAUUAUUCUGUUGGGAUGUCUGCAGCUCCUUGCCAUAUUAUGGCCUAAAAAUGGUAUGCCAAAACAUACAGUGUUGCGCAUUGAUUCUUUAGUCUGUCUUGUUCAAGCAGAACUUCUUCAAGCAUAUGCUACUAUAAUGGACAUAAGGUUUCUUCAGACCUUGGUAUUAGAGAGUAAUGUUGAGUUCUGUUGGAAGAGUAGUAGGUUUCAUCUAAAUUUAUGUGUCCCAUGUACCAACAAAGUUGAGGAGCAAAGCUAUAAGAAUACUACCAUUGGUAGUGGUGGGCAUAUAAUGGGUCCUCCUCGGCUGAAGCCAAUAAUACCCAAUGCUUACAUCACCUACAUGGAUGUCGUUGUUGACAACAUGACUAUUGAUGAUUGCUAUAAUAGUGCACCGCAGUUUCAGCCGUUGGGCUCCCAUGUGGAGAUUGGUGAUGGAAUUAGUUUCACUAGAAUGGAGAGCACACAAGUAGUGAAGGCUAUCAUCUUUGUGAUGUACAAGGCUGAGUCGUUGCAUGCGCACGACAAUUCUUCCAUCAGCACUGUCAUCCCUGAACAUAUGAUGUCCAUGGGAGGUGAGAAACUUAUAUGGAAACAUCUGAAAUCUUGUCACAUUGUGAGAUGUCCCAAGUUGCACACAAUCUUCAAUAUUAUCUGGGGAUACAACAAAUUUAGAGAACUAGUAAACUUUUGGGCAGCUGAUCUCCCGAUGGCCCAUUGCAUUUGGAGCAGACAAAGGGCACGGGAUAUUGAGGACCCUGUUUCCUUUGCGAAACUGCAGAGCAUACACCUGUCCUCCUGCCCAAGGCUCACAUUUGUGCUCCAGUUUUCCAGGUUAUACACCUUGAGAAGGUUGGAAACCCUCCACAUCGUCUUUUGUGGUGAUCUAAGGCAGGUGUUCCCCGUGGAGCCAGAGAUUCUGACAAGCAUAGCUACAAGAUACCGUAAAGAUGUUCUGGGUUUCCCAAACCUGAAGCAUAUCUACUUCCAUCAGCUCUUCAAGCUGGAACAUAUAUGCCAGGCCAAGAUGUUUGCUCCCAAGCUUGAGACUAUCAGGGUCAGGGGAUGCUGGGGUCUCAGGCGCCUCCCCUCUGUUGGCCGAGAUAGCCGCCCUAUCGUGGACUGCGAGGAGGACUGGUGGAAGGCGCUGGAGUGGGAUGGGCCGGAGGCUGGCCACGACCCUUCCCUCUUCCGGCCGCGCCACUCGGCGUAUUACAAGAAGCCCCUGCCUAGAGUCUCAGUUCUACGGUGA